Molecule: transfer RNA, 93 nt
Filed under: Caballeronia fortuita
Lineage: Bacteria; Pseudomonadati; Pseudomonadota; Betaproteobacteria; Burkholderiales; Burkholderiaceae
Description: tRNA-Ser
Source: RNAcentral
CGUCGGGCAGGCGGUCGAGGAAGCGCGCGUGCUCGAACUGCGCGACGCCGCGUCGCACUAUCUGAAGGCGGGUUCGGCGCUCGGCUCGGCGGC